CACCUCACUGACCAGUACGUGAAUUGCAGAAUGGCAACUUACGAUUCAAAAUUAAAUUUGAAUAAAUUCACCACAAACACAUACAAAAUGCUUACAGCGUGGCGCCUGCAAAUAUGAAGAUGACCAUCUGAGCUUCAAACAAAGAAGAUAACAAGCAGUCACGACAACACCCAAGUCGUGCCACCACAAAGAGAACUGAAGCCAACACAGAGACCAAUCAAAGGCAAGAAGCACUGUCGAGACCACCUAAAACCACAAUCUGAAAUGAAGCUGGCCGGACCAACAAUUGCCAAAACCCUAACCAAAAACUAAUCUGGGAAGCCCAAUCUAAGUAUAACCCAACGCAAAAUUGGAAGAAACCCAAAAGCAACUGAAUUCGAACCACUCCAAAAGCUAAGAGCUGCCCGAACUCAAAAUCAGAGACUUCUAAAGUGGUCGGCCAAAUUGAAAAUACGAAAAAUACGUAGAACAAAUAACAAGCAGCACAAAAAAAAUGAAAGAACUUCAGACAAAGAUAAUCAUCGGAAAGAACUUCAGUCAACCUUGUAGUUUUCGGGCAAAAAAAGCUCCAAAUUUUGUCAGGUUCAUCGUUACCAAAGAAUGGAUAAACCAAAAUUACACUGUCAAUUUUGAUACCCGAGCAGGAUUCGUCUAGGCUGGCUCGAAUUGCCAUGUUAUGAAAAAGAUUGGCUCCGACGCUGUUGCCGGAGAGGAAAACCCGAUCAAAAUUGGCUCAAUUUCACAAAAUUUGUGGGUGUCGCUGCGGGUAAUCAUGUAUUGCAAAAAAAAAAAAAAAAACUCAACAAAUCAAGGCACUCAUGAAUCUAUUUCUUCCUCAAUUGAUGGAUUCAUUCU
This 855-nucleotide long non-coding RNA is filed under the name Olea europaea subsp. europaea. The record is from RNAcentral. Lineage: Eukaryota; Viridiplantae; Streptophyta; Magnoliopsida; Lamiales; Oleaceae.